RNAcentral lists this non-coding RNA (198 nucleotides) under Marinobacter sp. RNAcentral also lists the same sequence under 1 other name. The record is from RNAcentral. Lineage: Bacteria; Pseudomonadati; Pseudomonadota; Gammaproteobacteria; Pseudomonadales; Marinobacteraceae.
UAUAGUGCCCCUAUCCUUGGUUGAAUACCAAAUAUGGUAUUCGGGAAUCCGGUUAGAAUCCGGAACUGACGCGCAGCGGUAUUGGGGAACGAGCGUGGCACAAAGACACUGGCGCAAGCCGGGAAGUCGCCACGCAAGGCAGAACCGAGAGGUUCAUGCCCCUGAGUCCGAAGACACUGCCAGGGAUAACUGCACCUU